RNAcentral lists this ribosomal RNA (274 nucleotides) under uncultured bacterium. Its description in RNAcentral is "partial 16S ribosomal RNA". It matches the Rfam family "Bacterial small subunit ribosomal RNA", at positions 523 to 796 of the family's 1533-position model. The record is from RNAcentral.
AUACGAAGGGGGCUAGCGUUGUUCGGAAUUACUGGGCGUAAAGCGCGCGUAGGCGGACUGAUCAGUUGGGGGUGAAAUCCCAGGGCUUAACCCUGGAACUGCCUCCAAUACUGUCCGUCUUGAGUUCGGGAGAGGUGAGUGGAAUUCCUAGUGUAGAGGUGAAAUUCGUAGAUAUUAGGAAGAACACCAGUGGCGAAGGCGGCUCACUGGCCCGAUACUGACGCUGAGGCGCGAAAGCGUGGGGAGCAAACAGGAUUAGAAACCCGAGUAGUCC